Long non-coding RNA from Humulus lupulus (European hop), 343 nucleotides. RefSeq lists it as uncharacterized. The transcript is spliced from 3 exons. The record is from RefSeq and is a predicted model, not a curated record. NCBI's taxonomy places the organism in Eukaryota, Viridiplantae, Streptophyta, Magnoliopsida, Rosales, Cannabaceae.
GGAGAACAGAUUUUUGGUUAUGGUCAUUCGUGACUUGCUGAAUUUAUGCGAAAUCACAAAAGGGAAGGAUAACAAAGCUGUCGUCGCAAGUAACAUUAUGUAUGUUGUUGGACAGUACCCGAGGUUUCUAAGAGCUCACUGGAAGUUCCUAAAAACUGUUGUGAACAAAUUGUUUGAGUUCAUGCAUGAGACACAUCCUGGUGUUCAGAGUUAAAUUGUUUGACAAUAAGAAGAGAUUAACAGUUGUAGGCUUUAAAAAAUUUCAGAGCAACAUCAUGAGGAGGUUUUCCUUGGAAACCUGAGGAGAUUUCAAUUUAGAGAGCUUCAGAUGGCAACAAACAAC